GGGUGACUGCGUACCUUUUGUAUAAUGGGUCAGCGACUUAUAUUCUGUAGCAAGGUUAACCGUAUAGGGGAGCCGCAGGGAAACCGAGUCUUAACUGGGCGUUAAGUUGCAGGGUAUAGACCCGAAACCCGGUGAUCUAGCCAUGGGCAGGUUGAAGGUUGGGUAACACUAACUGGAGGACCGAACCGACUAAUGUUGAAAAAUUAGCGGAUGACUUGUGGCUGGGGGUGAAAGGCCAAUCAAACCGGGAGAUAGCUGGUUCUCCCCGAAAGCUAUUUAGGUAGCGCCUCGUGAACUCAUCUUCGGGGGUAGAGCACUGUUUCGGCUAGGGGGUCAUCCCGACUUACCAACCCGAUGCAAACUACGAAUACCGAAGAAUGUUAUCACGGGAGACACACGGCGGGUGCUAACGUCCGUCGUGAAGAGGGAAACAACCCAGACCGCCAGCUAAGGUCCCAAAGUCAUGGUUAAGUGGGAAACGAUGUGGGAAGGCCCAGACAGCCAGGAUGUUGGCUUAGAAGCAGCCAUCAUUUAAAGAAAGCGUAAUAGCUCACUGGUCGAGUCGGCCUGCGCGGAAGAUGUAACGGGGCUAAACCAUGCACCGAAGCUGCGGCAGCGACACUAUGUGUUGUUGGGUAGGGGAGCGUUCUGUAAGCCGUUGAAGGUGGCCUGUGAGGGUUGCUGGAGGUAUCAGAAGUGCGAAUGCUGACAUAAGUAACGAUAAUGCGGGUGAAAAACCCGCACGCCGGAAGACCAAGGGUUCCUGUCCAACGUUAAUCGGGGCAGGGUGAGUCGACCCCUAAGGCGAGGCCGAAAGGCGUAGUCGAUGGGAAACAGGUUAAUAUUCCUGUACUCGGUGUUACUGCGAAGGGGGGACGGAGAAGGCUAUGUUGGCCGGGCGACGGUUGUCCCGGUUUAAGCAUGUAGGCGGAUGUUCCAGGUAAAUCCGGAACGUCACUAACGCUGAGGUGUGAUGACGAGGCACUACGGUGCUGAAGUGACAAAUGCCCUGCUUCCAGGAAAAGCCUCUAAGCAUCAGGUAACAUCAAAUCGUACCCCAAACCGACACAGGUGGUCAGGUAGAGAAUACCAAGGCGCUUGAGAGAACUCGGGUGAAGGAACUAGGCAAAAUGGUGCCGUAACUUCGGGAGAAGGCACGCUGAUGGUAGGUGAAGCGACUUGCUCGUGGAGCUGAAAUCAGUCGAAGAUACCAGCUGGCUGCAACUGUUUAUUAAAAACACAGCACUGUGCAAACACGAAAGUGGACGUAUACGGUGUGACGCCUGCCCGGUGCCGGAAGGUUAAUUGAUGGGGUUAUCCGUAAGGAGAAGCUCUUGAUCGAAGCCCCGGUAAACGGCGGCCGUAACUAUAACGGUCCUAAGGUAGCGAAAUUCCUUGUCGGGUAAGUUCCGACCUGCACGAAUGGCGUAAUGAUGGCCAGGCUGUCUCCACCCGAGACUCAGUGAAAUUGAACUCGCUGUGAAGAUGCAGUGUACCCGCGGCAAGACGGAAAGACCCCGUGAACCUUUACUAUAGCUUGACACUGAACACUGGUCCUUGAUGUGUAGGAUAGGUGGGAGGCUUUGAAGUGUGGACGCCAGUCUGCAUGGAGCCAUCCUUGAAAUACCACCCUUUAAUGGCUGGUGUUCUAACGUGGGCCCCUAAUCGGGGUUGCGGACAGUGUCUGGUGGGUAGUUUGACUGGGGCGGUCUCCUCCUAAAGAGUAACGGAGGAGCACGAAGGUCAGCUAAUCCUGGUCGGACAUCAGGAGGUUAGUGCAAUGGCAUAAGCUGGCUUGACUGCGAGCGUGACGGCGCGAGCAGGUGCGAAAGCAGGUCAUAGUGAUCCGGUGGUUCUGAAUGGAAGGGCCAUCGCUCAACGGAUAAAAGGUACUCCGGGGAUAACAGGCUGAUACCGCCCAAGAGUUCAUAUCGACGGCGGUGUUUGGCACCUCGAUGUCGGCUCAUCACAUCCUGGGGCUGAAGUAGGUCCCAAGGGUAUGGCUGUUCGCCAUUUAAAGUGGUACGCGAGCUGGGUUUAGAACGUCGUGAGACAGUUCGGUCCCUAUCUGCCGUGGGCGCUGGAGAAUUGAGGGGGGCUGCUCCUAGUACGAGAGGACCGGAGUGGACGCAUCACUGGUGUUCGGGUUGUCAUGCCAAUGGCAUUGCCCGGUAGCUAAAUGCGGAAGAGAUAAGUGCUGAAAGCAUCUAAGCACGAAACUUGCCCCGAGAUGAGUUCUCCCUGACUCCUUGAGAGUCCUGAAGGAACGUUGAAGACGACGACGUUGAUAGGCCGGGUGUGUAAGCGCAGCGAUGCGUUGAGCUAACCGGUACUAAUGAACCGUGAGGCUUAACCUUACAACGCCGAAG
RNAcentral lists this ribosomal RNA (2369 nucleotides) under Klebsiella michiganensis. RNAcentral describes it as "partial 23S ribosomal RNA". It matches the Rfam family "Bacterial large subunit ribosomal RNA", at positions 591 to 2925 of the family's 2925-position model. Lineage: Bacteria; Pseudomonadati; Pseudomonadota; Gammaproteobacteria; Enterobacterales; Enterobacteriaceae. The record is from RNAcentral.